Molecule: long non-coding RNA, 754 nt
Organism: Rhododendron vialii
Lineage: Eukaryota; Viridiplantae; Streptophyta; Magnoliopsida; Ericales; Ericaceae
Exons: 2
Source: RefSeq, a predicted model, not a curated record
CCAAGGCAUUGCUCACGGCAAAGCAAUUAAGGCAAAGGCAUAUGGCAAGCCGAUUGCUUGUCACCGGGCAAGGCAAUGCAUUGCUCACGACAUGCCAAGACCAAGGGUGGCCAAGGCAUGACUCACGGCAUGCCAAAACAAGGCGUGGCCAAGGCAAAGCCAUAACAAGGGUUGGCUCCCAAGUUGCUGGGUAACGGCUAAAAAGUUGCUGGAUAACGGCAACCAAGUUGUCGGGUAAGGCUGGGUAUCGGCUAAAAAGUUGCUGGGUAACGGCACCCAAGUUGUCGGGUAACGCCGGGUGUCGGCUAAAAAGUUGCUGGGUAACGGCUAAGAAGUUGUUGAGUAACGGCAACCAGAUUGUCGGGUAAUGCUGGCUAUCGGCUAAAAGAUUGCUGGGUAACGGCUAAGAAGUUGCUAGGCAACGGCAAGCAAGUUGCUGGGUAACGGCUAAAAAGUAGCUUGUCGCCGGGCAAAUCAAUGCAAGCACCAAUAUGUUCUUGUCGAAACGCCCCAAAAACUCUUGUUUAGUCGCCAUCUUUUGGGACUUUCGCAAUGUUAGUUUUAAAUCUUUUUUAAUUUUUAUUUUUAGACGUUUUUAAGUCUUAAUUUAAACAUUUUCUAUUAUAGAUGCCUCAUUUUUCAACCCAAUAUAUUUACAUAAUUAUUGUGUAGCUUGUUUAUAAUUUUUCGUGAUUUUUUCUUACCUUUUUUGUAUUUUUUUGUAUUUUUUAUGAUUUUUAUCUAUUUAUUUUUU